GAUGAACGCUGGCGGCGUGCUUAACACAUGCAAGUCGAACGAAGCAUUUGCGACAGAUUUUUUCGGAAUGAAGUUGCUUAUGACUGAGUGGCGGACGGGUGAGUAACGCGUGGGUAACCUGCCUUGUACUGGGAGAUAGCAGCUGGAAACGGCUGGUAAUACCGCAUAAGCGCACAAUGUUGCAUGACAUGGUGUGAAAAACUCCGGUGGUAUAAGAUGGACCCGCGUCUGAUUAGCUAGUUGGUGAGAUAACAGCCCACCAAGGCGACGAUCAGUAGCCGACCUGAGAGGGUGACCGGCCACAUUGGGACUGAGACACGGCCCAGACUCCUACGGGAGGCAGCAGUGGGGAAUAUUGCACAAUGGAGGAAACUCUGAUGCAGCGACGCCGCGUGAGUGAAGAAGUAAUUCGUUAUGUAAAGCUCUAUCAGCAGGGAAGAUAGUGACGGUACCUGACUAAGAAGCUCCGGCUAAAUACGUG
Molecule: ribosomal RNA, 481 nt
Filed under: uncultured bacterium
Lineage: Bacteria
Description: partial 16S ribosomal RNA
Rfam family: Bacterial small subunit ribosomal RNA
Source: RNAcentral